ACGCACGCUGGCGGCGUGCUUAACACCUGCAAGUCGAACGAAGAGCGAUGGAAGCUUGCUUCUAUCAAUCUUAGUGGCGAACGGGUGAGUAACGCGUAAUCAACCUGCCCUUCAGAGGGGGACAACAGUUGGAAACGACUGCUAAUACCGCAUACGAUCUAAUCUCGGCAUCGAGGAUAGAUGAAAGGUGGCCUCUACAUGUAAGCUAUCACUGAAGGAGGGGAUUGCGUCUGAUUAGCUAGUUGGAGGGGUAACGGCCCACCAAGGCGAUGAUCAGUAGCCGGUCUGAGAGGAUGAACGGCCACAUUGGGACUGAGACACGGCCCAGACUCCUACGGGAGGCAGCAGUGGGGAAUCUUCCGCAAUGGACGAAAGUCUGACGGAGCAACGCCGCGUGAGUGAUGACGGCCUUCGGGUUGUAAAGCUCUGUUAAUCGGGACGAAAGGCCUUCUUGCGAAUAGUGAGAAGGAUUGACGGUACCGGAAGAGAAAGCCACGGCUAACUACGUG
Molecule: ribosomal RNA, 509 nt
Filed under: uncultured bacterium
Lineage: Bacteria
Description: partial 16S ribosomal RNA
Rfam family: Bacterial small subunit ribosomal RNA
Source: RNAcentral